Molecule: long non-coding RNA, 1767 nt
Organism: Pteropus alecto (black flying fox)
Lineage: Eukaryota; Metazoa; Chordata; Mammalia; Chiroptera; Pteropodidae
Exons: 2
Source: RefSeq, a predicted model, not a curated record
CCCCUGCGUUCGCCACCCGCUGCCCUGCGGCUAGCGUGCCUGCUCCGCUGCCCCUGCGAGGCUCCGGAAAGCGCCCGGCGGGCACUGGGUGGUCUCCGCGUCCUCGGAUCUUCCCUGUCAGCUCUUCUGUCGAUAUGACCUUGGGUCACCCUUAACUAAGCUGGGGCGCGCAGCCUAGACACUCGAAGAGGAAGAACCUUGGGUCCCGGCAUGACCCGCUCUGGGUCCAGGCAUCUAUCUGGAGGAAACAAGCGCCGAGGAGGGCAAGGAUGAACGCGUUCCCAGGCGCACCGCCUCGCUUCAGAACUGGGUCACGGAGGGGCCAACUCGUGACAUCUGUAAAGAGGCAAGUCCAGGCCAAACCCUCAAACGAUGCCUACUGACAAGCACUGUUAUCACCACCCACAGACUGGUCUGUCAUAUAAACAGGAGCAUAAAUGAUGACUUUGGUUCCUGUUCAUUAAAAGCAUUUUGAGAGUUCUGUUUAAAAUUUUAAGAGCUUGGAAUCACUAUUUUGAUGGGAACAUAGGUAAAAGACAGGAACCUUUUUCUUUAUGUAUGUGACAACCUGAAUGGAUAGAUACGGGUGAUAUUAGGCAGAAGUUCCCACCUAUAAGGGCCAAAUUAAAUCCAGAAUAAAAUCGAAGAAUGUUUGAAAAUCUACUCAAUCCGUGCUAAGUAUUGACGAUGCAAUGAUGAACUGGACAGUGUCUUUUUCACGAAAAGUUUACAAUUUAGCAAGGAAAGAAGACAGGAAGAGAAGAUGACCACGGAGAGAACAAGAGCCUAGUUUGGGCAUAUUUCAAGAAGAGUGAAUGCAAUCAGUAGUCUGGUUUGACAAGGAAAUAGUGCUUCUGUAGAAGGGUGUGGUGAGAGAUAAACCCAAAGGUUGUAAUUAAAGACAUUGUGAAAGGCCUUAUGUACUCAGCUGGUUUUAAACAUAAUUGGACAGAUGAAGAGCCUUUGUAAAUAUGAAUUUGUGGUGCUAGAGCACAAAUACACACAGGAAAAAAUGAUUACCUGACAAUAUACACAAAAAUAAACUCCAGACGAGUAAAGAUGUAAAUGUAAAAGGCAAAAAAUAGCAUAUUUUGGUAAGAAAAUAGAGAAGUGUAUAUUCAUGACUUUGGUGGUCAGAAUUACCUUAAAUAUAAAAAACACAAACAUUAAUAGAAAAAUUGAUAGAUUUAAUGAUAUAAUUUUAAAACUAUAAGCAAAUUAAUGUUAAGGUACAAACUUGGAAAAUAUGUUUACGUUAAAUAGAAUUUCAAAAGUGUUCACUUCUAGAAUAUACAAAGAACUAAAAUCAAUAAGGAAAAAUAAGAACUCAAUAGAAAAAUGAGAAAAGAAUGUUAAAAGACAAACCAAACCUUCACUAGCCAUCAGGGAAAUUUACAUUAAAACAAGAUAAAUAUAUCACAUCCAUCAGACUGACAAAAAUGUAAACCUUGAUAAUAACAAGUCAAGGGUAUAGAAAAAUGAAAUUCUCAAUACUGCUGAAAGAAUUGUAAAUUACUAAAACCAAUUUUGUGAGCAAUUAGGCAAUAUCUGAUAAAGGCAAAGAUGCAAAUAUUCUGUAACCCAGCACUUUUUGGAUAUAAGUAUAUUCCCUGGAAAUAUGCUUGCAUUCGUGAACAAAGAAAUAUAUACAAUUAUGUUCUUUGCAGCAUUUUUUGUAAUAAUGAAAUAUUAAAUGCACUGUAAAUGACCAUCAAUAAGAGAAUGAACAAAUAAACUAUAAUUAAUAGACUUAGCAUGAAAAUGAAU